GAUUAAGCCAUGCAUGUGUAAGUAUAAAUAGUCUACUUUGAAACUGCGAAUGGCUCAUUAUAUCAGUUAUAGUUUAUUUGAUGAAAUGUACUACUUGGAUAACCGUAGUAAUUCUAGAGCUAAUACAUGAUCAAUUCCUCGACUUUGAAGAGGUGUAUUUAUUAGAAUGAAAACCAAUAGACUCUGUCUGUUUGUGAGUAAUAAUAACUUGUCAUAUCGCAUGCUUAGGUAGCGAUGUGUCUUUUAAGUUUCUGCCCUAUCAGCUUUCGAUGGUAGUGUAUUGGACUACCAUG
RNAcentral lists this ribosomal RNA (293 nucleotides) under Blastocystis sp. RNAcentral describes it as "partial small subunit ribosomal RNA". It matches the Rfam family "Eukaryotic small subunit ribosomal RNA", at positions 42 to 348 of the family's 1831-position model. Lineage: Eukaryota; Bigyra; Opalinata; Blastocystidae. The record is from RNAcentral.